AGUGAACGCUGGCGGUAGGCCUAACACAUGCAAGUCGAACGGCAGCACAGUAAGAGCUUGCUCUUACGGGUGGCGAGUGGCGGACGAGUGAGGAAUACAUCGGAAUCUACUUUUUCGUGGGGGAUAACGUAGGGAAACUUACGCUAAUACCGCAUACGACCUACGGGUGAAAGCAGGGGAUCUUCGGACCUUGCGCGGUUGAAUGAGCCGAUGUCGGAUUAGCUAGUUGGCGGGGUAAAGGCCCACCAAGGCGACGAUCCGUAGCUGGUCUGAGAGGAUGAUCAGCCACACUGGAACUGGGACACGGUCCAGACUCCUACGGGAGGCAGCAGUGGGGAAUAUUGGACAAUGGGCGCAAGCCUGAUCCAGCCAUACCGCGUGGGUGAAGAAGGCCUUCGGGUUGUAAGGCCCUUUUGUUGGGAAAGAAAAGCAGCAGGUUAAUACCCCGCUGUUCUGACGGUACCCAAAGAAUAAGCACCGGCUAACUUCGUG
RNAcentral lists this ribosomal RNA (492 nucleotides) under uncultured bacterium. RNAcentral's name for it is "partial 16S ribosomal RNA". It matches the Rfam family "Bacterial small subunit ribosomal RNA", at positions 29 to 507 of the family's 1533-position model. The record is from RNAcentral.